AAUCUUGGGCAAUGGGCGAAAGCCUGACCCAGCGACGCCGCGUGGGGGAAGAAGGCCUUCGGGUCGUAAACCCCUGUUCUGGAGGAAGAACUUCAGAUAGGUGAACAGCCUAUCUGAACUGACGGUACUCCAGGAGAAAGCCACGGCUAACUGCGUGCCAGCAGCCGCGGUAAUA
RNAcentral lists this ribosomal RNA (175 nucleotides) under Thermodesulfobacterium thermophilum. Its description in RNAcentral is "partial 16S ribosomal RNA". It matches the Rfam family "Bacterial small subunit ribosomal RNA", at positions 360 to 525 of the family's 1533-position model. The record is from RNAcentral. Lineage: Bacteria; Pseudomonadati; Thermodesulfobacteriota; Thermodesulfobacteria; Thermodesulfobacteriales; Thermodesulfobacteriaceae.